Molecule: unclassified non-coding RNA, 2859 nt
Filed under: Leishmania donovani
Lineage: Eukaryota; Euglenozoa; Kinetoplastea; Trypanosomatida; Trypanosomatidae
Description: gene:LdHU3.29.3740(CDS-product:NLI_interacting_fa ctor-like_phosphatase_putative)
Source: RNAcentral
CCACAAGGAGGAAACACAAACGUCUCACUAAUUGCGCGACACUCGGACCAAAACAGAAAACGCAAAGUCGACAUCCGUCGCUGGAUGUUGGCAAUCACAGGCAACUUUCCCGCUUCCUUUUGUUUCCUUUAGCUCUCUCUAUAUCUUUCUUGUACGUUGUGUCGUCGUUCUCGUUCGCUUUCUGUCCCCUACCCUCGGGUCUACGGUCAUCACCUUCAUCUCUGCACCCACACGUCCAAUCCAAAGUACUUUCGCCUGCUGCCAUAGCAAAGGGAAAAGAAUCUAUCGAGGGCAAAUCGGAAGGGACUUCUCCGUUCUCCUUGCUUCGUGGCGUUUCUUCCUUCCUGCUCUCCUCGUUCAGCUCAGAAUCACCGGUCCGUCAGUAGAAGCCCUCGCAACGCAGUAGGCGGCAGCUUCUUUUCGGUCAUUUCAGCAUUGCCGACCACGUCGCCGUAGAGUCGGCCUCUUCUCCCGAGAUGCGUCUUUCUACCUCGUCGCAUCGUCACAGGCGUGACAAGGAGCGAAACGCAAAUAAGACUCACUGCGACCCUGGAGGGCGCUGGAACCGACAAACAACCCCGCCGCUGCUUAGCCCCAGCUACAAUCAACCGUGUGGCCGACUUUUAACGGCCUUUGAGACUCCCUUCUCAUAUUUGGAGGACUCGGCUUGCUUAGCGGUAGGGAACGCUCCCCCCUCCCGAUUCCCCACGACUGCAGCGGCCGAUGGCACUCACACCGUGUCACACGCCGUUGGUUCCAAGGCUCCGAUUCCAUCCACACCGUUUGGCCAGCGCACCACGCUCGCGCACGAGGCGCUCAGCAACUUCCUGGAGAUCGGUUCUCAUGCGGGCAGGCACCAACACUCGACCAGGAGCGGCCGAAAAGCGAACGUCAUCUCCAGCCCUCUUUUCCCGACAACUGUAGCGUCAACCCCCACGUCCGCUACAUGGACAGAUGCAGCGCAAGACGCGGCCUUCCCCUCAACAACGCGUCUCGACACGGUUACUGUACCUAGUGAAUCGCUCAAGUCAAAGCGCGCGGAUAGUACCGACGCCGCAACCACGCUUCCUUCCGUGCCACUGACGUUCUCGCUUACCUUGAUCCCACCGCCCCGGCCGCAGGAUGUCGGCAAGCUCGUUGUUGUGCUAGAUCUCGACGAGACUCUUGUGUAUAGCCGCGACAUCAUCGUCUACAAGCGUCCUGGUGUGAUUCAGCUGCUGAGGACGCUGAAGGGCAAGUGCGAGGUUAUUGUGUGGACGGCCGGAACGCGAGAGUACGCGCUGGAUGUGAUUCGCACCAUCGACUCGGUUGGCGCCGUACAGUACUGCAUCUACCGCCACCCCACGUGGUGGACGGGCGACAUAGGUUGCACAAAGGACCUUCGUCUGCUAGGCCGCCCCAUGGAUCGGGUACUCCUCGUAGACAACACCCCCAGCGUGUUCCGUGCAAACCCGCGCAACUCUCUUCUCGUCGAGGACUUCAUUGUGCCACACCCGAGAGCGUACAACGCACAGGAGAAGACGCUGUCGGUGUUGGCUGACAUCUUCGAGCAUGUGUUCCGCCGUUUCACCUCCCCAUGCAUCGCCGACGUGCUGGCGAGCAAGCGCAUCAGCCGGCAAGCCAUCCGACUGGAGCGGGGCGGAUUUGUGGAUCUCAACGUCCUCACCCCCUUUUGAAGCAUGGAUGUGACUUAAUCCAUUGCCAUGUGACCGCCAUGCUUGCCGCUCACAGCUUCACCGGGAGAGGGUACAACUGUGCUAUCCUCUGUGCCGGGCCCUCCUCCUGGGUUGUGUACCGUUUUGUGAUGUUUCGCUUGCGUCCUCCGCUCCUUCUCCUUUCUCUCCGUAUCACGGCGUGCGUGUAUGUGCACGGCUGUGUGCGAGAGCUCGACUGCCUGCCGGGAGGUUGUUGUAUUGCUUCGUGAUGUGAGGUCCAAUUCUCCUUGAACCCUCGUUCACUGUAGUGUCUUCCCGCCUUCAGCGCCGACUGUACAUUUCUCGUAUGCAUUCCCUUUCCAGUGGAGGGGUUUUGGGGGCUCACCUGUGCGCGCUCUCUCUUUCACUUUUGAGCGUGUGCGUGUUCUUUUUUUUUCAUGUUCCUUGUACUACUGCUAAUACUUCCGAUUCGAUCUUUUUCUUCUAUUGUGUUUGUUUGCUGUUUGUGUUUCCGCCAUCGCCCCCUCCCCACUUCUCGACGCCCUCACCGACAACACUGCUCUCUCCCUUGGCUCGUCUCCUUUUACUACCUCCGAUCUCUGCUGGGGCUGGGUGCGAUGGCUCUUGUCGCUACACAAAAAAAAACCCAAAACAACGCCAAAACUAUCCGGCACCUCUGCGCCCCUCCCCCACCCCCUUACUUGCCCGAAGAGUUUUUUUUUUCUCGUGACUUUGCUUCACUUACGAUGUCCUCACGUGGUGCCGCUCGUGUUUUUUCUUUUUGCGUUCUUUCCUUCCUGUCUCUUCCUUCUCCCUUUACAGCCCCCCAUAAGCUUUGCCUUUUUUCUUGUCCCUUCGAUUCCUCGUGCUUGGAUGGGUGUACCGCACCGAGAGCACAACUGAUGCCCAUCUCCUUUUCCUUUCCCCCCUCUCUUCGUUCUCUUGCUAGUUUUGUGGCUUUCACCGUUGCCUAAAGCUCCUUGAUGUGCGUGCGUUUCUGUCUGUUGGGCGCUACAGAGAAAGCGAACGAUAAAGAGGGAGAUCCGCGGAUGACGCAAACGGAGAAGAGGGGGAACAACGCAUAUGUGCGUGUGUGGGCUUUCACUCUCUUGUAGAACAAAAACAUGACCGACACACACAGACACAAACGUAAACUACGAGACCGUCUUCUCUUUGCUUCUUCCUCUUCGUCUUUGCGCUCCAG